AGCUCCAAUAGCGUAUAUUAAAGUUGUUGCAGUUAAAAAGCUCGUAGUUGGAUUUGUGGCUGUCGCGUGCGACCUGACACUGAGUGUUAGCGUUUGCGUGCGUCGCCAUCCUUGGGUGGAACCUGUGUGGCAUUAGGUUGUCGUGCAGGGGAUGCCCAUCGUUUACUGUGAAAAAAUUAGAGUGUUCAAAGCAGGCUUAUGCCGUUGAAUAUAUUAGCAUGGAAUAAUAAGAUAGGACCUUGGUACUAUUUUGUUGGUUUGCGCACCAAGGUAAUGAUUAAUAGGGACAGUUGGGGGUAUUCGUAUUCCAUUGUCAGAGGUGAAAUUCUUGGAUUUUUGGAAGACGAACUACUGCGAAAGCAUUUACCAAGGAUGUUUUCA
Molecule: ribosomal RNA, 381 nt
Filed under: uncultured eukaryote
Lineage: Eukaryota
Description: SSU rRNA
Rfam family: Eukaryotic small subunit ribosomal RNA
Source: RNAcentral